UCCUGGUUUCCCAGGCAGUCUCACCAGAGUGCUUUACUUAAAAGUAGCAACUGGCGAUAGGAGUUGCGCUCGUUAGAGGACUUAACCGAACGUCUCACGACACGAGCUGACGACAGCCAUGCAGCACCUGUGCAAAAGUCUGAACCGAAAUCCAGAAAGCUGUGUUUCCACAGCGGUCUAAUGCAUGUCAAGCCUAGGUAAGGUUCCUCGCGUAGUGUCGAAUUAAACCACAUGUUCCACCGCUUGUGCGGACCCCCGUCAAUUCCUUUAAGUUUUAGUCUUGCGACCGUAAUCCCCAGGCGGAUCACUUAACGCGUUAGCUACGACACCAAUCCUGUAAAAACAGAACUGACGUCUAGUGAUCAUCGUUUACGGCGUGGACUAC
This 385-nucleotide unclassified non-coding RNA is filed under the name uncultured bacterium. RNAcentral's name for it is "contains 16S-23S intergenic spacer region". The record is from RNAcentral.